Molecule: ribosomal RNA, 465 nt
Filed under: Vreelandella stevensii
Lineage: Bacteria; Pseudomonadati; Pseudomonadota; Gammaproteobacteria; Oceanospirillales; Halomonadaceae
Description: partial 16S ribosomal RNA
Rfam family: Bacterial small subunit ribosomal RNA
Source: RNAcentral
CCUACGGGCGGCUGCAGUGGGGAAUAUUGGACAAUGGGCGAAAGCCUGAUCCAGCCAUGCCGCGUGUGUGAAGAAGGCCUUCGGGUUGUAAAGCACUUUCAGUGGGGAAGAAAGCCUUGGGGCUAAUACCCUCGAGGAAGGACAUCACCCACAGAAGAAGCACCGGCUAACUCCGUGCCAGCAGCCGCGGUAAUACGGAGGGUGCGAGCGUUAAUCGGAAUUACUGGGCGUAAAGCGCGCGUAGGCGGUCUGAUAAGCCGGUUGUGAAAGCCCCGGGCUCAACCUGGGAACGGCAUCCGGAACUGUCAGGCUAGAGUGCAGGAGAGGAAGGUAGAAUUCCCGGUGUAGCGGUGAAAUGCGUAGAGAUCGGGAGGAAUACCAGUGGCGAAGGCGGCCUUCUGGACUGACACUGACGCUGAGGUGCGAAAGCGUGGGUAGCAAACAGGAUUAGAUACCCCUGUAGUC